UGGGGAAUAUUGCACAAUGGGCGCAAGCCUGAUGCAGCCAUGCCGCGUGUAUGAAGAAGGCCUUCGGGUUGUAAAGUACUUUCAGUCGGGAGGAAGGUGGUAAGGUUAAUAACCUUAUCAAUUGACGUUACCGACAGAAGAAGCACCGGCUAACUCCGUGCCAGCAGCCGCGGUAAUACGGAGGGUGCAAGCGUUAAUCGGAAUUACUGGGCGUAAAGCGCACGCAGGCGGUUGAUUGAGUCAGAUGUGAAAUCCCCGGGCUUAACCCGGGAAUUGCAUCUGAUACUGGUCAGCUAGAGUCUUGUAGAGGGGGGUAGAAUUCCAUGUGUAGCGGUGAAAAGCGUAGAGAUGUGGAGGAAUACCGGUGGGGAAGGCGGCCCCCUGGACAAAGACUGACGCUCAGGUGCGAAAGCGUGGGGGGCAAACAGG
This 429-nucleotide ribosomal RNA is filed under the name Chloroflexota bacterium. RNAcentral describes it as "Chloroflexi bacterium partial 16S ribosomal RNA". It matches the Rfam family "Bacterial small subunit ribosomal RNA", at positions 355 to 776 of the family's 1533-position model. Lineage: Bacteria; Bacillati; Chloroflexota. The record is from RNAcentral.